ACGUAGGUGGCAAGCGUUGUCCGGAAUUACUGGGUGUAAAGGGAGCGCAGGCGGACCGGCAAGUUGGAAGUGAAAUCUAUGGGCUCAACCCAUAAAUUGCUUUCAAAACUGCUGGCCUUGAGUAGUGCAGAGGUAGGCGGAAUUCCCGGUGUAGCGGUGGAAUGCGUAGAUAUCGGGAGGAACACCAGUGGCGAAGGCGGCCUGCUGGGCACCAACUGACGCUGAGGCUCGAAAGCAUGGGUAGCAAACAG
This 251-nucleotide ribosomal RNA is filed under the name uncultured bacterium. RNAcentral's name for it is "partial 16S ribosomal RNA". It matches the Rfam family "Bacterial small subunit ribosomal RNA", at positions 525 to 775 of the family's 1533-position model. The record is from RNAcentral.